Molecule: ribosomal RNA, 345 nt
Filed under: uncultured eukaryote
Lineage: Eukaryota
Description: SSU rRNA
Rfam family: Eukaryotic small subunit ribosomal RNA
Source: RNAcentral
AUAGCGUAUAUUAAAGUUGUUGCAGUUAAAAAGCUCGUAGUUGAACCUUGGGCCUGGCUGGCCGGUCCGCCUCACCGCGUGCACUGGUCCGGCCGGGCCUUUCCUUCUAGGGAUCCGCAUGCCCUUCACUGGGUGUGUCGGGGAACUAGGACUUUUACUUUGAAAAAAUUAGAGUGUUCAAAGCAGGCCUUUGCUCGGAUACAUUAGCAUGGAAUAAUAGAAUAGGACGGCUUUCCUAUUUUGUUGGUUUCUAGGGGAGCCGUAAUGAUUAAUAGGGAUAGUCGGGGGCAUUAGUAUUCAAUUGUCAGAGGUGAAAUUCUUGGAUUUAUUGAAGACUAACUACUG